This 1251-nucleotide ribosomal RNA is filed under the name Triticum aestivum (bread wheat). RNAcentral describes it as "partial small subunit ribosomal RNA". The record is from RNAcentral. Lineage: Eukaryota; Viridiplantae; Streptophyta; Magnoliopsida; Poales; Poaceae.
AUGACCAAGGAUGAGGACUUCAAGCUGGUCAAGAUCCAGACCCAUGUCCUGAGGGUGAACAUACACUGCGACGGCUGCAAGCACAAGGUCAAGAAGCUGCUCCAGAAGAUCGAAGGCGUCUACUCGGUGGCCAUCGAUGUGGACAACCACAAGGUCACGGUGACUGGCAGCGUCGACUCUGAGACGCUCAUCCGGAAGCUCACCAGAGGGGGCAAGCACGCAGAGCUGUGGUCACACCAGAAGGGCGGCAGCGGCAACAACAACCAGGGCCACAAGGGCAAUGGCAACAACAACAACAACCAGCAGAAGCAGCAGCAGCAGCAGCAGCAGCAGCAGCAGAAGCAGGCUGCCAAUGUGAGCAAGGAUGGCGGCGGCAAGGGCAGCGGCGGGCAGAAGGAGCAGGGCAAGCUUGGUGGCGGAGUUGGGAGCCUCAUGCAGGGGCUCAAGGCCUUCAAGAGCCAGCACAGCAAGCACCAGCUCCCUGACCUGAGCUCGGAUGACGAAGAUGAUAUGUAUGAUGAUGAGGACGACGAAGACGAUGAUGAGUUUGACGAUGAGUAUGAGGACGACCUCCGCUUCCUCGGGGACAAGAUGAGCCAGCUCGGCAUCCUCAGGCAGCGCGCCGAGGCUGCGGCGGCGAUCAACGCCAAGAACAAGAACGGCGGCAAUGCCGCCAAUGUCGGCGGCAAGAAAGGCGCCCCAGCAGGGAACAACCACCAUCAGAACAACCAGAACCAGAAGAUGAACAUGGGCGCGGCGGCAGGGAAUGCCAAGAUGGGGAAUGGCGCUCAGAAGAACACUGGCGGCAUCGGUGGCCUGAUGGGCCUGAACCAUGGCCUGGGAGCUGGCGGUGCUGCUCCUGGCAUACAGGGCUACACAGGCGGCGGCUUCAGCCACCCUUCCUCCUACGGUGCCGCCGGCUACGGAGGGCUCCAGCAGCAGCAGCAGAACGGCAACCUGAUGGCGAGCAUGCAGGGGUACCACAACAACCCGGCGGCGGCCGCGGCGAUGAUGAACAACCUGAGGGGCAACAUGAUGAUGCACCAGCCGCAGCCGCAGCCGCAGAUGAUGUACCACCGGUCUCCGCAGAUCAGCCCUUACACGGCCUACUACAACCCAUACAGCUACUACUACCAGCAGCCCGGCGGCGGCGGCGGCGGCGGCUCCUCCGCCUACCACCCCGGCGGCGGCACCGGCGACGUCGAGACCAUGUUCAGCGACGAGAACACCAAGGGCUGUGCCAUCAUGUAG